This 252-nucleotide ribosomal RNA is filed under the name Triticum aestivum (bread wheat). Its description in RNAcentral is "partial small subunit ribosomal RNA". The record is from RNAcentral. Lineage: Eukaryota; Viridiplantae; Streptophyta; Magnoliopsida; Poales; Poaceae.
AAGAUCAAAGCUGAACAUAUCUCUGCAAUAAUACGGAUGCGAAUCUGCCAGGUCAGAGUUUGCCUCUUAUCCUCACAUGAAAGGAAAUCCUCAAGGCUACCAUUUGGCAAGGACUCGUAGACAAGCGUCGAUGCCUCUUUGCAUGCUCCUAGAAGAGUUGCAAGGUUGGGGUGUCUCACUUUGCUAUGGAUAGCAACCUGCAAAAUAAAUACAAAAUCAAUUAUUUACAACGAGUCGUUUUGGAAACACUAA